UUAGGACAAACCAGUGAGCUCGCCUCACACGCGAGAGGUCACUGGUUCAAGUCCAGUACGGCCCA
This 65-nucleotide transfer RNA is filed under the name Phycisphaerae bacterium. RNAcentral describes it as "tRNA-OTHER". Lineage: Bacteria; Pseudomonadati; Planctomycetota; Phycisphaerae. RNAcentral also lists the same sequence under 1 other name. The record is from RNAcentral.